UGAUGCCGUUGCAAGAACGAAGACUGACAACUUAGGUGGCUGUGUCGAUGCCUGUUCACAAUUGGCUACUGCAAACGUCAGUGUGUUUUCCAAAACUUUUCCGUUAUCAGUGUUAUAUUUGUAGCCUAUCAUUCCGUUAUUAAUCUGACUUCAAGUUGAUUUGAGAUUCUUUCAUACAGGGAUAAGUGAAACAUACUUUGUGAGGUGUUCGCACGUAAUGUUUGUGGCAAUAGCAACGACUGAUGCCAGAUUCAUUUGUGAUCAUUCUCAUCACUAUGGUAGUCUACACUACACACUAUUACUCAUUCAUCACAUUUGGACAGCACUGUCAAACUCCCAUUUUGUAACGAUUUGGAUAUUAGGCGCAGGUGUGGAAAAGUGAAAUAUCAGAAGUUUCGGGCGCCCCACAGCUUCAUCGUCCUAGGUAGGCAUCUGACGCGGAGCUACUCGGAGGCCGCAACUCCCGAUGGCAGGCCCGGCUUCACAUCGCGAGCGCACACCGUGUCUGGAGAAAACUCGCAGGAUGAACUCGCCCUCCUGGUGUGGCUCGUACGUGGAGGGGAUGAUGACGUACUCCCCGGGGCUCAGGCGGAAGCGCUGGGUCACCUCGCGCAGGUUGAUGUAGGACUUGCAGCGAGCUUUGGAGGAGGUCAACAGGAAGAAGUCCUUCUGCAUGUGCUGCUUGUUCCCGUGCAUCUGGAAGGGGGGAGUCGCAACGGAAAAAAGGAAUUAAAAACAAUCGAGUACUGACUUGGCGUAGGCCUUCUCCAGCAGGGCGCUCCAGAACUCGUUCCUCUCAGCGGACUUGGUGAAGACCAGCUGGUUGUUGAAGGUUGGGAUGCGGUCGUCGAUGACGACAUCGACCCAGUCGCCGUAGCGCCAAAACUGAAAGACAAAAGGAGGAACGACGCGGGAGGAUCAAGGACGAGUAAACUGUGUAAAGGAAGGACUGAAUGUCUGCUAAGUUAAGACUGACCUGGAAGUGGAAGAUGCCUGCAUAGUCCUCCGUGUAGCUCUGCUCGUGGGGAACCACGCGGUAGAGAAGCUUCUCAUUCAAGCACAUCGAUUUUUCACCACCGUCACAUAUCCUACAUAUGGGAGGGGUUGUGAUUUCUUGAAAACUACAACUACUACUGUAUGGAUUUAGUUGCCUUUUGAACUUCAUUCAACAAGAAAAUGGCUGCCACAGUAAAUAACAUGCACCUUUUUCCUCGAUUUGGGAUUUCGCUCACAAGAAAAUCAAAGACCGACAGGAACUCCUCUGCCGCCGAGUGCUGACAUUUGUGUUUUCUGAUUGCCCAGGUGUGUAAAAGGGUGUUACUGGAAACAAUGUAAGUUUUUCAACAG
Long non-coding RNA from Perca flavescens (yellow perch), 1347 nucleotides. RefSeq lists it as uncharacterized. The record is from RefSeq and is a predicted model, not a curated record. NCBI's taxonomy places the organism in Eukaryota, Metazoa, Chordata, Actinopteri, Perciformes, Percidae. The transcript has 6 exons.